AAAACGCUGUACAAAAUAUCGCUGUAUAAGAGGUGCUGUAUAAUUUUUUGAACAGCACAUGUUUAAGCUUUGAUAAAUAUCGGUAUAAAACACGGCGAAUUGACCUGUUUAAGGUCCGUAGACAGAAGGCUUGAACAGGGGGUUGUACAAGAUACCGGCACAUGUAAAGCGCAUGCGUACGCGUGCGCAGUGCUAUGCUAGUGGUCGGAAGAUGGCGUUGCAUGUUCGACUCGGAGACUGCUGCAGUGCACUGGAAAAAUCGUGUUUAAUCUCCGUUUUAGAAAAUGAAAGAUUUGGGGGUGACAAACCUGCUUCAGGAGUGGGACUUCCCACAUUUAGUUCCAAUCUUUAGAGUUAAAUGUUGCAGAAGAUGAGCACCAAGAAGACACCUACUGGAUGCAAUAUUACUCAUCACCUGACAACAUUGUUGUUAAUGUGACGAACCUCGGUACCGAGAUAUGAGUUGACUAGAGGAAACCCGCGACCAAGCACAGCAGAAAUUCUUGACAAAUAUCUACAGCUUUUGGGAAUGAUUGAUCAAGACUUUGAUUUAACAAUUGAUGCAGCUCCUGGUGCCCUUUUCACAAUGUAGCCAAAGUUGUCCAGGCAGACUUUGGAAUUUGCGGAGAAGAUUAAUCCA
Lytechinus variegatus (green sea urchin) is the source of this 640-nucleotide long non-coding RNA. RefSeq lists it as uncharacterized. NCBI's taxonomy places the organism in Eukaryota, Metazoa, Echinodermata, Echinoidea, Temnopleuroida, Toxopneustidae. The transcript is spliced from 3 exons. The record is from RefSeq and is a predicted model, not a curated record.